This 76-nucleotide ribosomal RNA is filed under the name Yersinia enterocolitica. RNAcentral's name for it is "partial 16S ribosomal RNA". It matches the Rfam family "Bacterial small subunit ribosomal RNA", at positions 1 to 76 of the family's 1533-position model. The record is from RNAcentral. RNAcentral also lists the same sequence under 7 other names. Lineage: Bacteria; Pseudomonadati; Pseudomonadota; Gammaproteobacteria; Enterobacterales; Yersiniaceae.
AAAUUGAAGAGUUUGAUCAUGGCUCAGAUUGAACGCUGGCGGCAGGCCUAACACAUGCAAGUCGAGCGGCAGCGGG